Molecule: long non-coding RNA, 355 nt
Filed under: Mytilus galloprovincialis (Mediterranean mussel)
Lineage: Eukaryota; Metazoa; Mollusca; Bivalvia; Mytilida; Mytilidae
Source: RNAcentral
ACAUUGAAUCUAGCAAGAUUGAGUUAACAACUUAGUUUUAUGUCAACGAUUGUCUCUUCUGUUUAUUUUUAGUUUUUAAAAAAAGAACUCAGUUAAAACUUUGACGAAACGUUGUGAAACCUUGACGAGUCGUUGUGAAACUUUGACGACAUGUUGUGAAAUUUUAACGAGUUGUUGUGAAGCUUUGACGAGUUUUUGUUUGUUCAAUAUCAGGUAUUUUAUCUUGUCUCUGUUUAAAAUAAAGUAUACACAGAUUUUAUUACAGAUUUAAAGUUUGAGAACAUCAUAUAAUGUGAAAAUGCGAAUUGUUUUUAAUUGAAAAGGAAUGGGAUGAUAUUAUGUAUGAACAUUGAUG